This is a non-coding RNA of Trichobilharzia regenti, 46 nucleotides long. Lineage: Eukaryota; Metazoa; Platyhelminthes; Trematoda; Strigeidida; Schistosomatidae. The record is from Rfam.
AUACUGGUGAAGAGUCCCAAAAUAGGACAAAACAGCUGUCCAGUAU